CUUCUGGUCUGUAACUGACACUGAGGCGCGAAAAGCGUUGGGGAGCCAAACCAGGAUUAGAUACCCUGGUAGUUCACGCCGUAAACGAUGAGUGCUUAGUGUUAGAGGGGUUUCCGCCCUUUAGUGCUGAAGUUAACGCAUUAAGCACUCCGCCUGGGGAGUACGGCCGCAAGGCUGAAACUCAAAGGAAUUGACGGGGGCCCGCACAAGCGGUGGAGCAUGUGGUUUAAUUUGAAGCAACGCGAAGAACCUUACCAGGUCUUGACAUCCUUUGACAACCCUAGAGAUAGGGCUUUUCCUUUGGGAGCAGAGUGACAGGUGGUGCAUGGUUGUUGUCAGCUCGUGUCGUGAGAUGUUGGGUUAAGUCCCGCAACGAGCGCAACCCUUGAUUUUAGUUGCCAUCAUUUAGUUGGGCCCUUUAAGGUGACUGCCGGUGACAAACCGGAGGAAGGUGGGGAUGACGUCAAAUCAUCAUGCCCCUUAUGACCUGGGCUACACACGUGCUACAAUGGACGGUACAAAGAACUGCAAGACCGCGAGGUGGAGCUAAUUUCAUAAAACCGUUUUCAGUUCGGAUUGUAGGCUGCAACUUGCCUACAUGAAGCUGGAAUCGCUAGUAAUCGCGGAUCAGCAUGCCGCGGUGAAUACGUUCCCGGGCCUUGUACACCCCCCCCGUCACCCCCCGAGAGUUUGUAACCCCCGAAGUCGGUGGGGUUACCUUUUGGAGCC
RNAcentral lists this ribosomal RNA (729 nucleotides) under Bacillus paramycoides. RNAcentral describes it as "bacterial SSU rRNA". It matches the Rfam family "Bacterial small subunit ribosomal RNA", at positions 726 to 1450 of the family's 1533-position model. Lineage: Bacteria; Bacillati; Bacillota; Bacilli; Caryophanales; Bacillaceae. The record is from RNAcentral.